GCCAGCGUGGGGUAGUGGCUUGAGUAUUGGACUAUGACUCUGGAGACCAGGGUUCAAUUCUCAGCUCAGGCA
Molecule: transfer RNA, 72 nt
Filed under: Phrynosoma platyrhinos (Desert horned lizard)
Lineage: Eukaryota; Metazoa; Chordata; Lepidosauria; Squamata; Phrynosomatidae
Description: tRNA-OTHER
Source: RNAcentral